GAAUGCUGACAUAAGUAACGAUAAAGCGGGUGAAAAGCCCGCUCGCCGGAAGACCAAGGGUUCCUGUCCAACGUUAAUCGGGGCAGGGUGAGUCGACCCCUAAGGCGAGGCCGAAAGGCGUAGUCGAUGGGAAACAGGUUAAUAUUCCUGUACUUGGUGUUACUGCGAAGGGGGGACGGAGAAGGCUAUGUUAGCCGGGCGACGGUUGUCCCGGUUUAAGCAUGUAGGCUGGUUAUCCAGGCAAAUCCGGAUAAUCAAGGCUGAGGUGUGAUGACGAGGCACUACGGUGCUGAAGUAACAAAUGCCCUGCUUCCAGGAAAAGCCUCUAAGCAUCAGGUAACAUCAAAUCGUACCCCAAACCGACACAGGUGGUCAGGUAGAGAAUACCAAGGCGCUUGAGAGAACUCGGGUGAAGGAACUAGGCAAAAUGGUGCCGUAACUUCGGGAGAAGGCACGCUGGUGUGUAGGUGAAGUCCCUGCGGAUGGAGCUGAGACCAGUCGAAGAUACCAGCUGGCUGCAACUGUUUAUUAAAAACACAGCACUGUGCAAACACGAAAGUGGACGUAUACGGUGUGACGCCUGCCCGGUGCCGGAAGGUUAAUUGAUGGGGUUAUCCGUAAGGAGAAGCUCUUGAUCGAAGCCCCGGUAAACGGCGGCCGUAACUAUAACGGUCCUAAGGUAGCGAAAUUCCUUGUCGGGUAAGUUCCGACCUGCACGAAUGGCGUAAUGAUGGCCAGGCUGUCUCCACCCGAGACUCAGUGAAAUUGAACUCGCUGUGAAGAUGCAGUGUACCCGCGGCAAGACGGAAAGACCCCGUGAACCUUUACUAUAGCUUGACACUGAACAUUGAGCCUUGAUGUGUAGGAUAGGUGGGAGGCUUUGAAGCGUGGACGCCAGUCUGCGUGGAGCCAACCUUGAAAUACCACCCUUUAAUGUUUGAUGUUCUAACGUUGGCCCCUUACCGGGGUUGCGGACAGUGUCUGGUGGGUAGUUUGACUGGGGCGGUCUCCUCCCAAAGCGUAACGGAGGAGCACGAAGGUUAGCUAAUCCUGGUCGGACAUCAGGAGGUUAGUGCAAUGGCAUAAGCUAGCUUGACUGCGAGCGUGACGGCGCGAGCAGGUGCGAAAGCAGGUCAUAGUGAUCCGGUGGUUCUGAAUGGAAGGGCCAUCGCUCAACGGAUAAAAGGUACUCCGGGGAUAACAGGCUGAUACCGCCCAAGAGUUCAUAUCGACGGCGGUGUUUGGCACCUCGAUGUCGGCUCAUCACAUCCUGGGGCUGAAGUAGGUCCCAAGGGUAUGGCUGUUCGCCAUUUAAAGUGGUACGCGAGCUGGGUUUAGAACGUCGUGAGACAGUUCGGUCCCUAUCUGCCGUGGGCGCUGGAGAAUUGAGGGGGGCUGCUCCUAGUACGAGAGGACCGGAGUGGACGCAUCACUGGUGUUCGGGUUGUCAUGCCAAUGGCACUGCCCGGUAGCUAAAUGCGGAAGAGAUAAGUGCUGAAAGCAUCUAAGCACGAAACUUGCCCCGAGAUGAGUUCUCCCUGAGACUU
This 1547-nucleotide ribosomal RNA is filed under the name Klebsiella pneumoniae. Its description in RNAcentral is "partial 23S ribosomal RNA". It matches the Rfam family "Bacterial large subunit ribosomal RNA", at positions 1292 to 2823 of the family's 2925-position model. The record is from RNAcentral. Lineage: Bacteria; Pseudomonadati; Pseudomonadota; Gammaproteobacteria; Enterobacterales; Enterobacteriaceae.